Amphimedon queenslandica is the source of this 343-nucleotide long non-coding RNA. RefSeq lists it as uncharacterized. The transcript is spliced from 3 exons. Lineage: Eukaryota; Metazoa; Porifera; Demospongiae; Haplosclerida; Niphatidae. The record is from RefSeq and is a predicted model, not a curated record.
UAUACUAAUCAAGAGUGCAUUAGACUGGUUGAUUCAGGCUAUAGAUUACCCCCUCCUCCAGGAUGUCCUAAACCAAUGUAUAAACUAAUGAUACAAUGCUGGAAUCCUGAUACUCAUAACCGACCAAGUUUCUCAGAUAUAUCAUCAAGUCUAUCCUCACCUGAUAAACAAUUACUAAUGAUUAAUAAAGAGGAUCCUGUUACUGUACUGGGUGGAGCUUUAAAAACAAGCCACUCCCUCUACACCGACUUACAGUACAUGUACAAGAACUGAUUGAUUGUGUAGCCAGUUUAUAUACUUGUACAUUGUGUUUAAUGUGUAUAAUAUUGAUUCUUUAAAUUAG